GGGGGCGUAAAGGUUUCGACGGGGGUCAUGAACUUCGUUAAGCACGCAGAGUCCGCCUGAACUCUUUAAUAACGGGCAAUUUAAAAUUAAACGCAGAUUCUAACGAACUUGCAUUAGCUGCCUGAGUGCAGCUCGUCCUGCCGAUGAGUGCUGCGGCUUCGGUCCGGGCGUGACACAGCAGCCAACGCCUCGGGUGAGCGCUCUGUAACCCGACGCGCUUUCAAAGAGCUGCCAAAGGGCUAUCCUGUCUGUCGGAGAGUCCCGCGGGAGAUUUAAAAGACCGACUAAGCGUGUAGAAAGACGGACGGAUCGGCUUUCGGACAGGGGUUCGACUCCCCUCGCCUCCACCA
RNAcentral lists this transfer-messenger RNA (350 nucleotides) under Oscillospiraceae. RNAcentral describes it as "Ruminiclostridium_E sp017479645 Standard tmRNA". It matches the Rfam family "transfer-messenger RNA". From Rfam's summary of the family: Bacterial tmRNA, also known as 10Sa RNA or SsrA, is named for its dual tRNA and mRNA-like properties. Its role is to liberate the mRNA from a stalled ribosome. To accomplish this part of the tmRNA is used as a reading frame that ends in a translation stop signal. RNAcentral also lists the same sequence under 1 other name. The record is from RNAcentral. Lineage: Bacteria; Bacillati; Bacillota; Clostridia; Eubacteriales.